AGCUCCAAUAGCGUAUAUUAAAGUUGUUGCGGUUAAAAAGCUCGUAGUUGGAUCUCGGCAGGUAGGGGGCGGUUCGUUUCUGACGGCACUGCCCCAUUUACCUGUGUUUAUGCAAGAGGUCUCAAGGUGGCUUUAAUCGGCUGUCUUGGAACGCUUGCAGUUUUACUUUGAAAAAAUUAGAGUGCUCAAAGCAGGCUACAAAGCUUGAAUAUUUGUGCAUGGAAUAAUGGAAUAGGAAGUCGUUUCUAUUUUUUUGGUUUUCGGAAAUUGACUUAAUGAUUAAUAGGGACAGCCGGGGGCAUUAGUACUCAGACGACAGAGGUGAAAUUCUUGGACCGUUUGAGGACUAACUACUGCGAAAGCAUUUGCCAAGAGUGUUUUCA
Molecule: ribosomal RNA, 383 nt
Filed under: uncultured eukaryote
Lineage: Eukaryota
Description: partial small subunit ribosomal RNA
Rfam family: Eukaryotic small subunit ribosomal RNA
Source: RNAcentral